GUUUAAAUGUCUACAUUCUUUCUAAUAAACUGUUGGAAGACUUCUUGGCUGUCCUUUUAAGUGUCUGGCUUACUGUAAUUUUUAUGUAUUUACCAUUUACUGGAAUGGAGUUUUUAGUUUUAUUUGAGGAAGAAUUUGGGAUUAUUCCUGUUUGAAAAAAGAGGCUUGCUGUAAUGUCACAGGAAACCUUUUUAAAGUGGAUCUGUAAUAGAAUAUUGUAGAUGCACUUUGUAGCAGUUGGAAAAGAAAGUGUUGUGAUUUGAUAAAAAUAAAACUAAAUGUGUUGUCCUCCUCUAAAAACAAAUAAAAAAGAAGCAGCUGUUCUGCA
This 328-nucleotide long non-coding RNA is filed under the name Homo sapiens (human). Its description in RNAcentral is "HSALNT0080638". Lineage: Eukaryota; Metazoa; Chordata; Mammalia; Primates; Hominidae. The record is from RNAcentral.